GUUUGAUCCUGGCUCAGGACGAACGCUGGCGGCGUGCUUUAUGAAUGCGAGUCGAACGGCAACAGACUGAGAUCUUCGGAUGGAUGUCUGCUAGAGUGGCAAACGGGUGAGUAACACGUGGGUAACGUGCCCUAGAGACGGGGACAACGGAGGGAAACCUCCGCUAAUACCCGAUGGUCUGGCUUACCACAAGGUAAGUCGGUAAACGGAGCAAUCCGCUCUAGGAUCGGCCCGCGGCCCAUUAGCUAGUUGGUGAGGUAACGGCCCACCAAGGCGACGAUGGGUAGCCGGUCUGAGAGGAUGGCCGGCCACACUGGGACUGAGACAUGGUCCAGACUCCUACGGGAGUUAGCAUCAGGGAAUCUUGCGCAAUGGGCGAAAGCCUGACGCAGCGACGCCGCGUGGGUGAUGAAGGUCUGCGGAUCGUAAAGCCCUGUCAGGAGGGACGAACGCCGUGUUCUGCACGGUUUGACGGUACCUCCAAAGGAAGCCCCGGCUAACUACGUGCCAGCAGCCGCGGUAAGACGUAGGGGGCAAGCGUUGUCCGGAAUUACUGGGCGUAAAGAGCGCGUAGGCGGUUCAGUAAGCGGAAGGUGAAAUCCCGGGGCUCAACUCCGGGGCUGCUUUCCGAACUGCUGGACUAGAGUAUGGGAGAGGGCAGUGGAAUUCCUGGUGUAGCGGUGGAAUGCGUAAAUAUCAGGAGGAACUCCCGUGGCGAAGGCUGCUGCCUGGAACAUUACUGACGCUGAGGCGCGAAAGCUAGGGGAGCGAACGGGAUUAGAUACCCCGGUAGUCCUAGCCGUAAACGAUGGACACUAGGUGUUGGAGGCAUCGACCCCUCCGGUGCUGUUUUGCUAACGCGUUAAGUGUCCCGCCUGGGGAGUACGGCCGCAAGGUUGAAACUCAAAGGAAUUGACGGGGGCCCGCACAAGCGGUGGAGCGUGUGGGUUAAUUGGAUGAUACGCCAAGAACCUUACCAGGGCUUGACAUGGCCUUGUAAGCCGUAGAAAUACGGCCCCCUAGCAAUAGGCAAGGUCACAGAUGGUGCAUGGUUGUCGUCAGCUCGUGUCGUGAGAUGUUGGGUUAAGUCCCGCAACGAGCGCAACCCUCGCCAGAUGUUGCCAUCGGGCCGAAAGGUGCCGGGAACUCUUCUGGGACUGCCUGAGUAAUCAGGAGGAGGGAGAGGAUGACGUCAAAUCGGCAUGCCUCCUACGCCCUGGGCUGCACACGCGCUACAAUGGUGGGGACAAAGGGUUGCUAAGCCGCGAGGUGGAGCUAAUCCCCCAAACCCCAUCCCAGUUCGGAUCGGAUGUCUGCAACUCGACUCCGUGAAGUUGGAAUCGCUAGUAACCGUAGAUCAGCUACGCUGCGGUGAAUACGUUCCCGGGCCUUGUACUCACCGCCCGUCAACU
Molecule: ribosomal RNA, 1412 nt
Filed under: metagenome
Description: bacterial SSU rRNA
Rfam family: Bacterial small subunit ribosomal RNA
Source: RNAcentral